CUCGCUGGAGGUAUGUUCCUGCCACUCUCGCCGUCAUCCACUCUAGCACUUCAGAAAACACUAUGACACGCCCAGUGCGCGCUGUCCGGGAACUAAGGGCCACGUGAAGACUGCGAGUAGCGCUCGAGCACUCGCGGGACCAGGCCUCGCCCGGCCGCUUCAGCCCGAGACCGUCCCUGAGGAGCUGGGACCGGCCGGAGGGCGAAGGAGCCGGUGACCGGCGCGAGCCCCAUUUCUCAGCGGCAGUACUCGUACACUCACCAGGGUGGAGCCACAGGACCCUUGUGUGCCCCUGUUGUACUCAAGACCCAAACUAGAGAAAGGGUCUGUUUUACUGCUCAUGGAAGGCCACGUCUAAAAUUAAACCACGUUAAGCGGAACUGUGCACCCAAAUAUUUCUCAGUUGCAUCCCAGCCUCGAAAACCUGUUUUAGGGCUGGAAAAGCUGGCUCAGCCAUUACGAGCACUGGCUGCUUGCUCUACCAGAGGACAAGGGCUCAAUUUCCCACAUCCACACGGCAGCUCACAGCUGUCUGUAGAUCCAGUUCUAGAGGAUCCAACACCCUCACAGGUACAUGAAGGCAAAACACCAAUGCACAUAAAAUGAAAAGAAGUAAAUCAUUAAGAACAAAA
Long non-coding RNA from Grammomys surdaster, 632 nucleotides. RefSeq lists it as uncharacterized. Lineage: Eukaryota; Metazoa; Chordata; Mammalia; Rodentia; Muridae. The transcript has 3 exons. The record is from RefSeq and is a predicted model, not a curated record.